Psammomys obesus (fat sand rat) is the source of this 421-nucleotide long non-coding RNA. RefSeq lists it as uncharacterized. NCBI's taxonomy places the organism in Eukaryota, Metazoa, Chordata, Mammalia, Rodentia, Muridae. The record is from RefSeq and is a predicted model, not a curated record. The transcript has 3 exons.
GCUUGGUGAUGGUGAUGGCGGUGUGUUUGUGUGCGUGUAUUCGUGUGGUCACAAAAGCUAUUUAUAAAACGAGCUUUUUUUUGCGGCCUCCUAACUAGGGUUAAAGAUACAUCUCUGAUCUCAGUCACCAAAAUAGUCACUGAUGGGGUUAGACGAGGGUAGGGGUAAUGGUUUGUCCAGGAAGAUGGCGAUGGCAACAGAUGGUACGAGAAAAUGGCCGCCGGGAUCACGUGUCGGUCUUGACGAGUAUUUCCCACCUGAAUCGUUCUCAAAAUGUGGUACUUGGACUACCAAAGGACAUGAUACAUCAUUCAAGAACUUGUUGGAAAUGCAAAUGAUCUCCUGCUUCCAGUUUCCUGCUCUCCUGGAGUUCCUGCCCUGACUUCCUUGGAUGAUGGACUGUUACCUGAAAGAAGCUGAA